RNAcentral lists this transfer-messenger RNA (363 nucleotides) under Candidatus Desulfatifera sulfidica. It matches the Rfam family "transfer-messenger RNA". From Rfam's summary of the family: Bacterial tmRNA, also known as 10Sa RNA or SsrA, is named for its dual tRNA and mRNA-like properties. Its role is to liberate the mRNA from a stalled ribosome. Lineage: Bacteria; Pseudomonadati; Thermodesulfobacteriota; Desulfobulbia; Desulfobulbales; Desulfobulbaceae. RNAcentral also lists the same sequence under 2 other names. The record is from RNAcentral.
GGGGGCGAAACGGAUUCGACGGGAAUAUGUAAGCUCACCGUUGCAUGCCGAGCUUCUUUCUGCUCGUAAAACUGAUUGAAAAACACUUAUAAUCGCCGACGAUUAUAACUACGCAGUAGCAGCUUAAUAACCUGCUUUGCCGUUCCCCCAGCCUGCGCCCACAAGGCUGGACCGGAGCGCCGACUCUGAGGGCUGGUUUGACAAUGGUGCCUGUCCGUUGCCAAAUGAGAUCCAGCAGGAUAGCGACAAGAAACCCUGGUUCCGGCGGGGCUCCUGGCGCGAAAAUUAAAGCCCGGAACUAAGCAUGUAGAUACGGGAGGGGAGUAUUUUCGGACGCGGGUUCGACUCCCGCCGCCUCCACCA